CGACUCUGGUAUGUUUGAAGAGUCAAAAUCUAUCCUGGCCCCGGGUGAGUCGAGAGAAACCAUAGGACCAUAGCACUCACCCACCUCCACAGAGGCGAAGACCAGUGGACGAGGCCUUCCACCGCUCUCCACUCCGGUGCGUAUAUCACUGGCUCGGUGAUAUUGGGCCCAGGAUUGAGUUGUACAUCCCCGGAGAGCAGGAGGGUAGUGAACAGGUACCAUGAAGAAACCCAUAGUGGCGUGUCUGGUGGGAUAUGUAUGUCUAGAAGAGAAGUAGUCAAUUUCCUCUCAACCCUCAACCAUGAAAGACUCAUGUAUGUUGUUGAUGUUAGUUCUUUGUGCGCAGUUAAGGGCAAGGCGUCAUGCUUUGUUUUGAGCCAGCUGCAGUUUUGAAGGUCAUUCUUUACUGCACCUGACCAUCUUACCUGACAGUGUCACAUCUGCUCCUGCAACGCCCUCUACUGCUCAUCAUGUGGUGCCUUGACCUACCGCCUCCCCAAGUGCUCUUUCCCUCUCUCUCUCUCUCUGUAUGUUUGUGUGUGUGUGAGUGUGAUUGUGUGGGCGGAGACAGGUGUGCUGGAGUCAGAGCAGAUCCCCACCAGCUGCAACCUGUUCCAUAACCAAGACCUCUACUAAUACUCAGCUCUGCCACUUCCACGCUGCCAGAUCAUAAUCUCUGCUCAUUCUGCCCGCUCUGACUCUGGUCCCAGUCUCCAGUCCCACGUCUCGUCUUCCUGGAUUCCCCACUCUACUACUUCCUUGGAUUUCCCUCCGGACCUGCUUACCCUUUCCCAACCCCACUCGCUCCAGCCUCAGCCUCCGCACCUGGUUUCCAGCAACACGCCCGAGCUUCCCCUGACCUGCACUCCAGCUCUCCCUUGUUUCAAUAAAUACCUUGGUUACUUUA
Molecule: long non-coding RNA, 907 nt
Organism: Oncorhynchus keta (chum salmon)
Lineage: Eukaryota; Metazoa; Chordata; Actinopteri; Salmoniformes; Salmonidae
Exons: 3
Source: RefSeq, a predicted model, not a curated record